This 73-nucleotide transfer RNA is filed under the name Marmota monax (woodchuck). Its description in RNAcentral is "tRNA.Val". The record is from RNAcentral. Lineage: Eukaryota; Metazoa; Chordata; Mammalia; Rodentia; Sciuridae.
CUGAGGGUGUAGCUCGGUGGUACAGCGUGUGCUUAACAUGCAUGAGGUCCUGAGUUCAGUCCCUGGCCUCAGA